CAGUCGCCACGGGAAUACGUAGGUGGCAAGCGUUGUCCGGAAUUAUUGGGCGUGAAGCGCGCGCAGGUGGUUUAAUAAGUCUGAUGUGAAAGCCCACGGCUCAACCGUGGAGGGUCAUUGGAAACUGUUAAACUUGAGUGCAGGAGAGAAAAGUGGAAUUCCUAGUGUAGCGGUGAAAUGCGUAGAGAUUAGGAGGAACACCAGUGGCGAAGGCGGCUUUUUGGCCUGUAACUGACACUGAGGCGCGAAAGCCAGGGGAGCGAACGGGAUUAGAUACCCCCGUAGUCCCUGUCUCUUAUAC
RNAcentral lists this ribosomal RNA (301 nucleotides) under uncultured bacterium. RNAcentral describes it as "partial 16S ribosomal RNA". It matches the Rfam family "Bacterial small subunit ribosomal RNA", at positions 509 to 807 of the family's 1533-position model. The record is from RNAcentral.